This 374-nucleotide ribosomal RNA is filed under the name uncultured Gaiellaceae bacterium. RNAcentral describes it as "bacterial SSU rRNA". It matches the Rfam family "Bacterial small subunit ribosomal RNA", at positions 524 to 896 of the family's 1533-position model. Lineage: Bacteria; Bacillati; Actinomycetota; Thermoleophilia; Gaiellales; Gaiellaceae. The record is from RNAcentral.
UACGUAGGGGGCAAGCGUUGUCCGGAUUUAUUGGGCGUAAAGAGCGUGUAGGCGGCCAUACAGGUCAGCUGUGAAAACUCGAGGCUCAACCUCGAGACGUCGGUUGAAACCGUAUGACUAGAGUCCGGAAGAGGAGAGUGGAAUUCCCGGUGUAGCGGUGAAAUGCGCAGAUAUCGGGAAGAACACCCGUGGCGAAGGCGGCUCUCUGGGACGGUACUGACGCUGAGACGCGAAAGCGUGGGGAGCGAACAGGAUUAGAUACCCUGGUAGUCCACGCCGUAAACGAUGGGUACUAGGUGUGGCGGGUGUCGACUCCCGCUGUGCCGAAGCUAACGCAUUAAGUACCCCGCCUGGGGAGUACGGCCGCAAGGCUA